RNAcentral lists this ribosomal RNA (23 nucleotides) under Pilobolus kleinii. RNAcentral describes it as "partial 28S ribosomal RNA". The record is from RNAcentral. Lineage: Eukaryota; Fungi; Mucoromycota; Mucoromycetes; Mucorales; Pilobolaceae.
CUGCAACUCGAUGCAGAAAUGCA